GCCUCCGUGGCCCAACGGAUAAGGCGCCCGACCACGGAUCGGGAGAUUGUGAGUUCGAAUCUCACCGGAGGUA
Non-coding RNA from Emiliania huxleyi CCMP1516, 73 nucleotides. The record is from Rfam. Lineage: Eukaryota; Haptophyta; Isochrysidales; Noelaerhabdaceae.